Molecule: ribosomal RNA, 4744 nt
Filed under: Triticum aestivum (bread wheat)
Lineage: Eukaryota; Viridiplantae; Streptophyta; Magnoliopsida; Poales; Poaceae
Description: partial small subunit ribosomal RNA
Source: RNAcentral
UGACUGUUGGGCUAGCCGGCCCGCUCUCACGAACCAUCACCCUCCCGGUCCACCGAGGCCCGGCAACCGCUACGCAGCGGAGACUCGAUAAACAGGGAAGCCCUAGCGCGUGAGCGGGUCAGUCCAUCGCGUACCCGGCGACGCUCGCGGGAGGCUGUCUGGAGGCUGCGAAAUCUCCCUGAGGCGCGCGGUGCCGAGGCCGCGGCGACCGGUGACGGCGAGGUCAGUGCCCCCGCCGUCCCUGCUCCUCCCUCUACCGCCCCGUUGCCUCCUGCACGUCAACUGCCCGCAGGUCUGACCUCCAUCUUACCCCGUCCUUCUCCAUCGCCGGGCGGCAGCAUCCGACAGUCUUAGCCCCCGCCGGACCGAGCCUGCCGUGCCGUGCCGUGCCGCGUCCCCGUCCCCGUCCCCGUGGGAAGGCGGACUGUUUCCUCCGCAAUCCUGUCGCGCGACGGCUCGCCCACUGAAUUACCCUCAGGGGCCGCCGUUCUCCAACCGCUCUGUUCUGCACCCGAUCGCAUCCGUGCCCCGGCCGCACUCCCCGCUGACUUCUCCGCUUUCAUGGCCCCUGACAAGCAGGCCUCGCAUCUCCAUAUCCCGCAAAGAAUGUUUUUCUCAUCUUCUGUGCCCAAUUCUACCGCUCGUGCUCUUCUGUCUUUUUUCCCUCCUGGCCGGUGCCCAUUCUGCGGACGUGCAAAGGCUAUUAUGAUACUUGCGAUUACCAAUUGCGAAUCUAGGGUUUCGUGUACAAACGGUGUGUAUUUUGUUGCUUUUGAGCUAGUUUUCUUCAUUGCGGAUUUAUUACAGUUGCAAGGCUUGCUGUGACUCGGCAGUAUAUUAGGUGAUUUAAAUAUACUUUGCACGAAAGGAGGUGGUGUAGGAAGCUUUGGAUCUGAGUGGUGGGAUGGAGAGGUAGGGGAAUACUUUGGAUCCGCCUUACGCUGGUUAGCUAGUUUAUAUUAGUGAAAUGUGGCAAUAGUGAUAUUGGCUUUCUUGCCAUCUCAAAGCGUGUUUUCCCUAUUAAUACCCUCUGAUGCCUCAUCUUAUGUACAGUAACUCCUGAAUCUGGUAUGAUACCGCGAGAUAUGAAAUAAUAUGCAUCGAGAGAACCAAAUAAUAGCGAUGAACAAUCAUGACAAGGGAAACUGCAAUACCUAAUUGCCUAUAGCUGCAGAGCUGGAUCGUGUUUCAGGUGAAGUAUCUGAGAUACCCAUCCACAUGUAUCCAAUCAGCUGUUAAUAUGGUGCAUUAGUUCAGUUUGAUGCUAAUACCACAUGAAAGAUGUGUGUCUUGUGGUUCUUCCCUUUGGUCCUGCAUUCCCUUGCUUCGUGUCAUGCCUCCUUUGACCAGAUAGGUAUUACGUACACUCUACUGUAAACAUAAGAGAAACGACAAGUCCAUCCAAAUCAACUACUUAGAAGAUGCACGUGAACAAUUGCCUCCAACAUUUUGUUUAUGUUGUUAAUGACCAUAUUUGAAGGACAGGCCUGGUGCAGUGGUGAAGUACUCCACACUUGUGGCAAGAGGUCCUGGGUUUGAGGCAGCCUCUGCAUUGCACUGUGCAGGGGUAAGGCUUGCCCCGUAUAAUCCUUCCCCGGACCCCAACUGGCCCCGGCACAUUUCUAUCGACUGAAAAAGCUUACUGGGUCAUCUUCCCCUACAGAAAGUGGUUCUACAAGGCUUACCCUAAAUCUUCCAGGAUCGACCUAUCAGUUUCCGCAGAGAAGGUCGGUCUGUGGUCAUCAUCUAUAUGGGCAAAACAUCUGCUUCUGGUGUUGUUCAGGAGAAUGAAAAAGUUGGGAAUGGUUCACCCUCUUCUCCUACCAAGGGGAAAAGGGGAAGGAAAGGGUCCCAGAUUAUAUCAAAUAAAAAGUAUCCCCUGAGAUCUGCACAUAGUAGUGCCAGGGUGCUUCGGUCUACUUCAAAAGACAAGAGUAAGACGCCUAAUGAGCCAGUAAGUCCAUUGAGAUCCGCUCAUAGUAGUCCCAGGGUGCUUCGAUCUACCCCUAAAAACAAGAGCAAGACACCUAAAAAGCAAGUAAAUUCAUUGAGGUCCGCACAUAGUAGUGCCAGGGUGCUUAGCUCUACCUUGAAGAAAAAGGUACCUAAUGAGCCGGUAAACAACAGUACUGCUGCUCAACCAGCUGCCAGGAAAAGGAAAAGAGGCAGGCCCUCAAAUGCAGCGAGUCCCAAGAAUGAGUGCAUCAAAAUUCGCCAACGAGUUAGAUACAUUUUGAAUCGAAUGAACUACGAACAAAGUUUCAUUCAAGCCUAUGCUGGUGAAGGUUGGAAAGGUCAAAGUUUGGAAAAAAUAAGACCUGAGAAAGAGCUUGAGCGAGCCAAGGCAGAAAUCUUGCGAUGCAAGUUAAGAAUUCGGGAAGCUUUUCGUAAUAUGGAUUCUCUUCUAUUGGAGGGGAAGCUUGACGAAUCUUUGUUUGAUUCUGAGGGAGAAAUAUCUAGUGAAGAUAUUUUCUGUGCCAUUUGUGCUUCAAAGCAUGUUACGCUAAAAAAUGAUAUCAUUCUUUGCGAUGGAGUGUGUGAUAGAGGAUUCCACCAGAAAUGUUUGAAUCCUCCUUUGCUGGCAGAAGAUAUUCCUCAGGGGGAUGAAGGAUGGCUUUGCCCUGCGUGCGAUUGCAAGCUAGAUUGUAUAGAUUUACUAAAUGAACUCCAAGGGAGCACACUUGCUAUUCAUGACUCAUGGGAGAAAGUUUUCCCUGAGUCAACUUCGAAUGGCUUAAACCAAAUUGGUGCAUCUGAUCUUCCAUCCGAUGAUUCAGAGGAGGAUUAUGACCCUACUUUAGCUGAAGGGGACACAGUAGAUGAAGACAAAUCAUCUGCAGAGGAUGGGGAUGAAGGAUCAGAUUCUGAUGACCUGGAUUUUAUAACAUCAUCCGAUGAGUCUGAACCUUCAAAGAAGAAAAAGUCUGAAUCAAAGAACAAAAAUACCGUCAAUGACCUUGCGUUGCCUUCGGAUGACUCAGAGGAUGAUGACUUUGAUCCAGAAGGUCCAAAUUCCAGUGAAGACCAGAAGACCAAAACAAACUCAGACGAGUCGGACUUCACAUCUGAUUCUGAUGAUUUCUGUGCCGAGAUUUCUAAAUCUUCUGGCAAGGACAAAGUUUCGGCACCUUCAUUCUCAGACCAAACUAAUGGAGUGGACAUUAUGGAGGCAGAGCUAGAGCAAGACUCUGUGCUACCAGCUUCAAACAGGAGACAAGUUGGAACUUUGGAUUACAAAAAGCUUUAUGAUGAGGCUUAUGGAAAAGAAACCACUGAUUCAAGCGAUGAAAAAGAGUGGUCUGGACAUAGCCCAAAUGGAAAUCCAGAAGACAGUGAUACAGAUUCAUUUGCUGGACCACUUAAGCCGGCAAAAACCAGAAGAGCACGAGGUGGGCGCCAGAACAAUGAGCGUACUCCACAGAGUGAACGGCACAGUGGUUCAGUAAGUGAACAGCAUCCUGAAGUGCUUUCCAACGGCACCAGUAGCACGGCCAGGAAAAAAGGUUAUGGUCCUAUUGUUAAUCAGAAGCUUAAGGCAUAUUUCGAAAAAGAACCUUACCCUAGUCGCCCAGCAAAAGAAAGUCUGGGACAAGAGCUUGGCCUGACAUUCCAUCAGAUCACUAGAUGGUUUUCUAGUACUCGUUAUUACUCAAGAGUUACUGCUACCAAGAAAGGGAAGCGUUCAGAAAACUAUACUGCUGAGAACAACGAUGGCAUUGCUGCGGAUAGCAUACAACAGAGAGAACCCAAUGGCAGUGUAUUGGGCAAACCAAAUGUAGAUAGAAACGGUAUUAUUUCGGAGGAAAGGAUGGCGCAAAAAAAUCUUGAUGAAGGUGAGAAAGAAGAUACUCCAUUCAGACAACGUAUCAGCUGUGAGCAGACACUGGAUGGGACUCCUGCUAACAAACACAACACUGCCAACUCAAGAGAAGUUGACCCACCAAUUGGUGCGCCUGGAGGAAACCAGCAAAGUGACACCUCGAGGAAUGCAGAAGAUACCCCACUCGGACAAGAUAUUGGCUGUGAGCAGACCGUGGCUGCUAUCAACCAAAACUGCACUAUCGGCUCGAGCAAUGUCGGGUCACCGAAAGGUGUGCCUGGAGGAAACAAGCGCCUUAAUAACUCUCCGAGUGUUGGAAGCCCAAGACGUGGGUCUGCCGAGAAGAACAUUCCUGGGCUAGAACAUGUUGAUGAGGCAAGGAGGAAGGCUAUACUGCGGGAGCUGAGGAAGAUGAAGGCCGCAGGCAAGUGAAGCUCCCAGAGAGGUAUCGUUUGAACCAUUUCCGAACCUUCAGUGCAAGUCAAGUUUUAGAUGCUACUCGACAAGUUUGAACUCUGGAUUGCUUCGCAGCCAGAGAAGAUGACUGACAGCCGAAUUGUUGUGCCUCAUCUGUUUCAAGUUCAUCAGUUGACAAGCCUGCUUAUCGUAGCCCUGUUUCUCUAUAGAGCCUCGAAUUUCUGAUUGGGUACACCUGGAAUCUGAAGUACUUCAUCCACAACAAGGGUUAAGCUGGGUGUAACAGUAUUAGCGUAGCCUGUAGACUCUAGUGGACAUUAGAACUGUUGUUUGCCAUGUUCUUGUAUCAUCUUGAUGGGUAGCCAUGUUGAGAGAAACUGAUGCGAACCGUUGUUUGGGUUGUAUCUUGUAAACAUGCUGUGAAUUGAGAGUAGUUCCUUUCAUUUUUUUUCCUGAGAGUUUAAUGAAACGAGAUCAAUGACAUCAUAUCUGGGAUCUGUGACAUGC